CGCACGGUGGAUGCCUUGGCACUAGGAGCCGAAGAAGGACGGGACUAACACCGAUAUGCUUUGGGGAGCUGUACGUAAGCGUUGAUCCAGAGAUUUCCGAAUGGGGGAACCCACUAUCUUUAGUCGGAUAGUAUCCUUACGUGAAUACAUAGCGUGAGGAAGGCAGACCCAGGGAACUGAAACAUCUAAGUACCUGGAGGAAGAGAAAGAAAAAUCGAUUUCCUGAGUAGCGGCGAGCGAAACGGAAAGAGCCCAAACCAAGAAGCUUGCUUCUUGGGGUUGUAGGACACUCUAUACGGAGUUACAAAAGAAAGUUAUAAAUGAAGCGGUCUGGAAAGGCCCGCCAAAGACGGUAACAGCCCGGUAGUUGAAAUGGCUUUCCCUCCAGAGUGGAUCCUGAGUACGGCGGAACACGUGAAAUUCCGUCGGAAUCCGGGAGGACCAUCUCCCAAGGCUAAAUACUCCCUAGUGACCGAUAGUGAACCAGUACCGUGAGGGAAAGGUGAAAAGCACCCCGGAAGGGGAGUGAAACAGUUCCUGAAACCGUGUGCCUACAAGUAGUUAGAGCCCGUUAAUGGGUGAUAGCGUGCCUUUUGUAGAAUGAACCGGCGAGUUACGAUUUGUUGCAAGGUUAAGCGGAAAAAGCGGAGCCGUAGCGAAAGCGAGUCUGAAUAGGGCGCAUAAGUAACAGGUCGUAGACCCGAAACCAGGUGAUCUACCCAUGUCCAGGAUGAAGGUAAGGUAAUACUUACUGGAGGUCCGAACCCACGCACGUUGAAAAGUGCGGGGAUGAGGUGUGGGUAGCGGAGAAAUUCCAAUCGAACUUGGAGAUAGCUGGUUCUCUCCGAAAUAGCUUUAGGGCUAGCCUCGAGGUAAAGAGUCAUGGAGGUAGAGCACUGUUUGGACUAGGGGCCCUUCUCGGGUUACCGAAUUCAGAUAAACUCCGAAUGCCAUGUACUUAUACUCGGGAGUCAGACUGCGAGUGAUAAGAUCCGUAGUCGAAAGGGAAACAGCCCAGACCACCAGUUAAGGUCCCCAAAUAUAUGUUAAGUGGAAAAGGAUGUGGGGUUGCUUAGACAACCAGGAUGUUGGCUUAGAAGCAGCCACCAUUGAAAGAGUGCGUAAUAGCUCACUGGUCGAGUGACCCCGCGCCGAAAAUGUACCGGGG
Molecule: ribosomal RNA, 1168 nt
Filed under: Listeria monocytogenes
Lineage: Bacteria; Bacillati; Bacillota; Bacilli; Caryophanales; Listeriaceae
Description: partial 23S ribosomal RNA
Rfam family: Bacterial large subunit ribosomal RNA
Source: RNAcentral